GAUGAACGCUGGCUACAGGCUUAACACAUGCAAGUCGAGGGGAAACGACGGGGAAGCUUGCUUCCCCGGGCGUCGACCGGCGCACGGGUGAGUAACGCGUAUCCAACCUGCCUCUGACUGAGGGAUAACCCGUCGAAAGUCGGACUAAUACCUCACGGCAUCGUCUGCGGGCAUCUAACGACGAUUCAAGAUUUCAUCGGUCAGGGAUGGGGUUGCUUCUGAUUAGCUAGGUGGCGGGGUAACGGCCCACCAAGGCGACGAUCAGUAGGGGUUCUGAGCGGAGGGUGCCUGAGAGUGGAACUGAGAAAAGGGCGAAACACAUACGGGAGACAGUAGUAAGGAAGACAGGAGAAUGGGCGAGAGCCUGAACCAGCCAAGUAGGGUGCAGGAUGACGGCGCGAGGGGUUAUAAACUGCGGGUAUGCAAGGACAAAGGGAUGGACGGGUCCGUCAUUGCAGGUACCGCAUGAAUAAGGACCGGCUAAUUCCGUG
Molecule: ribosomal RNA, 491 nt
Filed under: uncultured bacterium
Lineage: Bacteria
Description: partial 16S ribosomal RNA
Rfam family: Bacterial small subunit ribosomal RNA
Source: RNAcentral